This 1405-nucleotide unclassified non-coding RNA is filed under the name uncultured Neocallimastigales. Its description in RNAcentral is "partial contains small subunit ribosomal RNA, internal transcribed spacer 1, 5.8S ribosomal RNA, internal transcribed spacer 2, and large subunit ribosomal RNA". The stretch from base 653 to 1405 matches the Rfam family "Eukaryotic large subunit ribosomal RNA", at positions 1 to 617 of the family's 3401-position model. The record is from RNAcentral. Lineage: Eukaryota; Fungi; Neocallimastigomycota; Neocallimastigomycetes; Neocallimastigales.
UUUCCGUAGGUGAACCUGCGGAAGGAUCAUUAAAAAUUGGACUCCAUUGGUGAGUUUCAUUAAUAAUCCCUACCCUUUGUGAAUUUGUUGUUUGAAUAUUUUUUUCCAAAAAAAAUUAUUGAAUGUCUUUCCUUGUUUUGGUGGAGCUUGUAAAGUGAAACCAGGCAGGGGAAUGGCAAACAAUAAUUAUUUUUGAAAAAGACCUUUUUUUAAAAUUAAACUUUUGUAUUCAUUUGUCUAAAAUUAAUUUUUAUAAUAUAAAACAACUUUUGACAAUGGAUCUCUUGGUUCUCGCAACGAUGAAGAACGCGGCAAAAUGCGAUAAGUAGUGUGAAUUGCAGAAUACGUGAAUCAUCGAAUCUUCGAACGCAUAUUGCACUUUUUUAGUUUACUAAAAAAGUAUGUCUGUUUGAGUAUCAGUAAAAUAUUCUCAUAAAAAACAUUGUUUUUUUUAUGGUUAUGAGUGUUUUACAACGAUAACAAGUUGUUUCACUUUAAAUUCUUUGUUAUCAAAAAAAUCAUUAAAAGCUAAUUUUAAAGAUUUUUAAAUUGGAUAAAUUUUCCCGUAAAAAGGAAUAACCUAAACAAUUUUAAAAAAUUAAAAUUGGUUUAAUUUUUUUGAAACCCAAAGGAAAAAAAAACGAAAUUAACUUGAUCUCAAAUCAGAUAAGAAUACCCGCUGAACUUAAGCAUAUCAAUAAGCGGAGGAAAAGGAACUAACUAGGAUUCCCUCAGUAACGGCGAGUGAAGCGGGAAGAGCUCAAAUUUGAAAUCUUCAAGGUUUUACCUGACGAAUUGUAGUUUAAAGAAUGUUUUCUGUUGGAGUUUUGGUAAAAGUUCUUUGGAAAAGGACAUCAUAGAGGGUGAGAAUCCCGUAUUUGACCAUUAUCUCCAGCUUUGUGAUACACUUUCAAAGAGUCGGAUUGUUUGGGAAUGCAGUCCAAAAUGGGUGGUAAAUUUCAUCUAAAGCUAAAUACUGGCGAGAGACCGAUAGCGAACAAGUACCGUGAGGGAAAGAUGAAAAGAACUUUGAAAAGAGAGUUAAACAGUACGUGAAAUUGUCAAAGGGAAGCGUUUGACACCAGUGUUGUUUUCUCGAAAAUCAAUUAAAAAAGGCCGGAUUUUGUGUUGUAUUGACUUUAUCAGCUUUCUGCACUCUUUUCUUGUCUUUUUUAAUGCACUUUUCGUUUAACAAGUCAACAUCAAUUUCUUUGUUGUAAAAGGGUCAUUGGAAGGUGGCUUUCUUUUCGGAGAAAGUGUUUAUAGCCUUUGCCUCUGCAAUCGGAGAGAUUGAGGUCUGCAGCGUAGAUCCUUCGGGGUUAGAUACAUUUGUGCUAAGUUAUAGCCUUUUCAUAGAAACUUGUUGACUAUGAUCAGUCAUGUAGCUUACUCGCUUAUGCUAUUU